RNAcentral lists this ribosomal RNA (497 nucleotides) under uncultured bacterium. RNAcentral describes it as "partial 16S ribosomal RNA". It matches the Rfam family "Bacterial small subunit ribosomal RNA", at positions 28 to 507 of the family's 1533-position model. The record is from RNAcentral.
GAUGAACGCUGGCGGCGUGCCUAAUACAUGCAAGUCGAGCGAACAGACGAGGCGUUUGCUCCUCUGACGUUAGCGGCGGACGGGUGAGUAACACGUGGAUAACCUACCUAUAAGUCUGGGAUAACUUCGGGAAACCGGAUCUAACACCGGAGAAGAUAUUGAACCGCAUGGUUCAUUGGUGAAAGUCGGUUUUGCUGUCUCUAAUUGAGGGUUCCCCGCCGGUUUAGCUAGUUGGUACGGUAACGGCUUACCAAGGCGACGAUGCGUAGACGGCCUGAGAGGGUGAUCGGCCACACUGGAACUGAGACACGGUCCAGACUCCUACGGGAGGCAGCAGUAGGGAAUCUUCCGCAAUGGGCGAAAGCCUGACGGAGCGACGCCGCGUGAGUGAUGAAGGUCUUCGGAUCGUAAAACUCUGUUAUUAGGGAAGAACAAAUGUGUAAGUAACUAUGCACGUCUUGACGGUACCUAAUCAGAAAGCCACGGCUAACUACGUG